AUUGAACGCUGGCGGCAGGCCUAACACAUGCAAGUCGAGCGGAUGAAGGGAGCUUGCUCCUGGAUUCAGCGGCGGACGGGUGAGUAAUGCCUAGGAAUCUGCCUGGUAGUGGGGGAUAACGUCCGGAAACGGGCGCUAAUACCGCAUACGUCCUGAGGGAGAAAGGGGGGGAUCUUCGGACCUCACGCUAUCAGAUGAGCCUAGGUCGGAUUAGCUAGUUGGUGGGGUAAAGGCCUACCAAGGCGACGAUCCGUAACUGGUCUGAGAGGAUGAUCAGUCACACUGGAACUGAGACACGGUCCAGACUCCUACGGGAGGCAGCAGUGGGGAAUAUUGGACAAUGGGCGAAAGCCUGAUCCAGCCAUGCCGCGUGUGUGAAGAAGGUCUUCGGAUUGUAAAGCACUUUUAGUUGGGAGGAAGGGCAGUAAGUUAAUACCUUGCUGUUUUGACGUUACCAACAGAAUAAGCACCGGCUAACUUCGUG
RNAcentral lists this ribosomal RNA (484 nucleotides) under uncultured bacterium. Its description in RNAcentral is "partial 16S ribosomal RNA". It matches the Rfam family "Bacterial small subunit ribosomal RNA", at positions 30 to 507 of the family's 1533-position model. The record is from RNAcentral.